UACGUAGGGUGCAAGCGUUGUCCGGAAUUAUUGGGCGUAAAGAGCUCGUAGGCGGUUUGUCGCGUCUGCUGUGAAAACCUAAGGCUCAACCUUGGGCUUGCAGUGGGUACGGGCAGACUAGAGUGCGGUAGGGGUGACUGGAAUUCCUGGUGUAGCGGUGAAAUGCGUAGAUAUCAAGAGGAACACCUGAGGUGAAGACGGGUUGCUGGGCCGAC
This 215-nucleotide ribosomal RNA is filed under the name uncultured bacterium. RNAcentral's name for it is "partial 16S ribosomal RNA". It matches the Rfam family "Bacterial small subunit ribosomal RNA", at positions 524 to 738 of the family's 1533-position model. The record is from RNAcentral.